CGGACGGGUGAGUAACGCGUGAGAAUCUGCCUUCUGGUCGGGGACAACCAUUGGAAACGAUGGCUAAUACCGGAUGAGCCUACGGGUAAAAGAUUUAUUGCCAGAAGAGGAGCUCGCGUCUGACUAGCUAGUUGGUGGGGUAAAAGCUCACCAAGGCAUCGAUCAGUAGCUGGUCUGAGAGGAUGACCAGCCACACUGGGACUGAGACACGGCCCAG
RNAcentral lists this ribosomal RNA (217 nucleotides) under uncultured bacterium. RNAcentral's name for it is "partial 16S ribosomal RNA". It matches the Rfam family "Bacterial small subunit ribosomal RNA", at positions 99 to 334 of the family's 1533-position model. The record is from RNAcentral.